GGAGAGUGGCAUGAAAGGAGAUCAUAGGAGGCCUUACAGAGGGAACCCAGGGAAAGAGAAGAUGUCCCUGUGGGAGAGUGUAGGAGUGAGCUCACCAAGCCCAACCAGCACGGAUGAAAGGCUAUAUUGGUGAACAACAGGAAGACAGACGGACUUCCGAACAGACACACCAACCAGAAGAAACCGCUGGAGAUAGCAACAGUCAGCCAGCGUGACUGACUGAGAGCGUCCCAGGCAGCUGAUCUGCCAUGUGCCCUGGUCCUCUAGAGGCCAGGAGAGAGGGACAAAAUCCUAUGGAGUCAGAGUUUGAGCCACCUGGCAUAGGUGCUAGGAACUAAACUAAGAGAGAUCCUCUGGAAGAGAAGUGCAUUCUCUUAAUCGCUGAGCCAUUUCUUCAGCCCCCACCCCCCCACACGCAGAGACAACAAAGGGAGGUGGUUCGGCAUGCAAGCAUUGGGACUGGAGUCUCAAAACUUCGAAAAUCCACCUAAACCUGGGUGUGGCGAUGCGUGACUCUAAUCCCUGUUGACAGGUGUGUCCCAGACAUCCAGAAGGGUAACUGAAAUUGGACUUCUUCACACCCCACCUGGUUCUUGCCCAAGUGAUCAGAAGGGAGAAGGGGUAUUCUGGGAGCACUCACUGUUUCCCUGGAGGAGCACCCACUGUUUACCUGAGGAACACUCAGAUUCCCUGGCCCUUGCAGGGCUCUAGGUGAGAAGUCUGGCUUGUGUGGUACACAGUGCACUUUGGCACAGCUCCCAUGAGACCAUAUAUUAUUUAUUUGUCUUUUAUAACUUCUGUUUUAUUAUCGGAAUAGGGCAAAAAUAACAUCUGAGAAACAAAACUCAGAAAACAAACACAGUCACCAAAGAGCUUUGGGAACUGUACCAAAGGUCAUCGUGGCCAUGUGUGAGGAUUCUAGCAACUUUAUAAAUUUAAAAAAUGGCCAAUGAGAUCCAUCUGUUGUGGAACACUAAAGUCCAUGGGAUUUUAAAGAGCUCAUAUAUGGAUGACAUUCUAAGAGGAGAAAGAUGAGUUAGAGAAAGGACUAAGGGAGUUGAAGGGGUUUGCAAUCCCAUAGGAAGAACAACAAUAUCAACCAACCAGACCUCCCAGAACUCCCAGGGACUAAGCCAUCAACAAAGGAGUACACAUGGCUCCAGCUGCAUAUGUAGCAGAGGACGGCCUUGUCAGGCAUCAAUGGGAGGAGUGGUCCUUGGUUCCAUGAAGGCCCAAUAGAUGCCUCAGUGUAGGGGAAUUGAGGGCAGGGAGGUGGGAGUGGGUGGGUAGGUGGAAGAUCACCCCCAUAGAAGCAGGGGGAGGAAGGAUGGAAUAGGGGGUUUCCAGGAGGGAGGGAAACCAGGAAAGGGGAUAACAUUUGAAAUGUAAAUAAAGGAAAUAUCCAAUUUAAAAA
Molecule: long non-coding RNA, 1414 nt
Filed under: Mus pahari (shrew mouse)
Lineage: Eukaryota; Metazoa; Chordata; Mammalia; Rodentia; Muridae
Description: lncRNA (MGP_PahariEiJ_G0003542.1)
Source: RNAcentral